Molecule: non-coding RNA, 2424 nt
Organism: Pseudonaja textilis
Lineage: Eukaryota; Metazoa; Chordata; Lepidosauria; Squamata; Elapidae
Source: RefSeq, a predicted model, not a curated record
UCUGGAGAGCGAGAUAUGAUAGUUGUGAGGAAUGAAAUAGGAAUUAGGCAUCCUUCUGGUCAUUUGGAAGACAAAUAUAUCAAUCUUGUAGUGUACGGAGAUGAUAAAGGGUAUUCUGCGAUGGCCAAGACAGUGGGGUAUCCCACUGCUAUUGCAGCAAAGAUGAUUCUUGAAGGUGAAAUUAACAGCAAAGGUAUGAUUGUCCCAUUGACAAAGGAUAUAUAUGGACCAAUGCUAAAGCAUAUUCAAGAGGAAGGCAUUGCAUACACAACCCAGAGUGUUAUCAGGCAAUAAAGCAGAACUUCAUGUUCCUCUCAGCCACCCGUCCACUGAGUUUCUAGUAUGCACAAAUUAAAGCUUGAAAAUCUGCCAUGGAUACCUUCAAUUGAGAAGUCUUCUGGGUUGAAUCCAUUGAAAUGAACAGAGCAGCAAAAAAGGAUUCCUAUUACCUUUGGCACAGGCUUUCAAUGAGAUUAUCCUAUUGAAUUGGGUUUAUUAAAGGCUACAAUUCCAGUGAACUUAUUUGGAAGCAAAUCUCAACGACUUCUGUUCCAUUUGUGUACCACAAUAUUAUCACAAUAUUUAUCAUAGCAUGAUAUUUUUUUCUUCAGAAAUGUAGGAUUUUUAUACAUGACGCAAGGAUCUUAAGGUUGUGCGAAACUAUUUUUCAUUGUUUCAUAAAUGCUGCAAAAUUGCUGCAUAUGGUGAAUAUUAAGACUAUUUUCUACUACAGUAUUUAAAAUGGAUUUCUAAACAAUGUAUUUUUAAAUUUAGAAAGAUUUGCUGUUUAUUAGGAAUGAAGAGGUUUAUGACCUAAGUGCCCAUACUGUUGAUUUUGAAAAGCUCCCAGCUUCACCCAGAUAUGCUUAAAUUUUGUUAUUCAUUGGUCUUCUAAGAAUGUGUAAGGAAUCAUUCAUUUUUCCUUGAGCCAUUUUUGUUGUCACUUUGUCAUUUGAUUCGUAUGCUUGAUGAAUAUCUACACUGAUUCCUUGAAUGAUAACUAUAGAAUCAAAAGUAGUUUGGCUUUUUUUUAAAAAAAUGAUAUAUUGUUCAGCUAGCUGAGUCUUAAGCACUUCCAGUUAAAGGCUACAGUUAACAGAAUUGGAAAAUAUCUGUCUCUGUAACUCUGAAGAUCUUUUCCUAAAACGGAGAUGUUAAUGUGUAAUAAACCAGCCUUUCCUAUCUUGGUUAUCCUUCAACGGUAUUGGGACUUGCAGAUUCCCAUAUUAUUAGAAUGUAUGCACAGUUCUUUGAAUGUCAUAAAAACUGAUCCAGCUUUGCAAAGAAGAUAUGAUUUUAUAACCAAAGGGAAAUAUGUACUUUUAAUUUAGCAUUUUUAUUGAGAAUAUGAUUGUUCUAGACACUUCUAUAAUAUAUGUUUAAAAUAUUAUUGUGGAGGAAAAAUGAUCUACUUUGCUUUACAUUUGCAAACUGUUAUAUUCCUUGAAAUUAUGUUUUAUAUAUUGGAGAACUUCUAAAUUCUGAAUUGAUAUGUAAAGUUGCCAACUAGUUUAUUUAUUUUCAUUAUCUUGAAGACAGAAUAUUUUUUGGUGCCUUUAAGAUUCUUACAUGUUUCAAUAUUAGAGAGAAACAAUAUAUUAGAGAAAUAUCUGGUAUAUAAAAAGAAAUCUGUUCUUGUUCUGUAAUGGACUUUCAGAUCAGUGAGUAGUAUGAAUUAUCUGUUUUAAAUGGAAACAUGGUGCAUAGAAAGGAAACCACAAUGUUUUCUUCCAUUCUGGAAUGGAAAAAGGUCUUUUUUUUUAAUCGCAGGGUGGGAAAAAUGUGGGCAGAAUUCAUUUGAAAGUAUGGAUAAAAACUGAGUGUGAUGGGAAAAAUGUGGAGUCUCACUGACAUCUGCAGCCAAACACUGUUCCAAGAUACAAUGAGUGGUAGCUCCAACUUUUUUUUUUUUUUUUUAGUAUUUUUGGAUAUACAAAUACUAAAUUUACACAUAAGCCCCUGAUAUUUGAUGUAUUAGUUCAGAGCAAUUUUUAAUAUUGCAUAAUUCUGUGCACAUUUACUGAAAAGUAAAUUCUACAGUAGCCAGGAAAUGUAAUCUGUUUAUCAAUAGAGGCUUUAGUAUCAUUAAUAUCCCUAAUUUUAUUUUUUUGAUGCUUAUUUAUGUUAACAGAAGAUAAUUGCUAUCUCAAAUCAUUUAGUUUUUUUUAAUACAAUGUCCAAUGUUUUUUUCUCUGCCUGUUGCAGUCACUGAGAAAUAGGAAAAUUGAGUUCAAGAUAUUUACUGGAAUGUAAUGGAACUGCUUCAUUUAUACUUAGCAAAUUUUGUAGAAAAAUUUUUGUGGGCUGUUGGUUUGCAAACAUUUUGCUGCCCAAAUUCACAACGAAGUGUCUCACUUUGUACAAUCCCAAUAACGUAACAAAACAUCCUGUUCUAAAAUAAAUCUGAAAAGGUUAAAUCAUAAA